GAUUCUGCUGGACCACAGGGUUCUUCAGUUGAUUACGUCUUAACUCACCAGAUAAGGCAGUCAGAAGUACCCAGAGGAGAAUAUCUGAAAUAUCAGUGGUUGCUGACUUUAUUCCAAAGACAGAAAAAACAUAGAACAUCUAUGAAAUAGAGACAUGAAAACUGGACUUCAUGAAAGAAAGUCCUGCCUCCAACAUGUAUGACUGUGCCCAAAAGAUUUUCCCUCCCAGAGCCAUGGUUUCCUUACAUUUAAAGAGGAGGAAACUGAGACAAAUGGGGUAAAGUGACUUGCCCAGGGUCACACAGCCAGUAAGUAUAUGAUCUCAGAUUUGAACUCAGGAAGAUGAGCCUUACAGAUUCCAGGUCUAGCACUUUAUCCACUGCACCAACAAAGACAAGAGGAUAAAACUCGACCAGAAAUGAGCAUGCUAGAAGAAGGAGGUGAAAUCCUUUUGCCCACUUUUUUCCCUGUGGGGGUCAACUCUGUGCAAUGAGACAUUUUUCAUCUAACUAAACAUUUCAAAAAAAAGGGAAAACUGGAGUGAGUUGCAAUUAAAAACUGUUUAAAUCUAAGAAUGAUAACUAGGAGAAGCCUCCUGCUACUCAGAGCCCAUCUGGAAGCACAAUAGGAGUAACUCAGCAACUUACAGAUGUUUGCCAACAACCUUCAGUCAAAGAAGCUCCUACGUGACUUGAUAAAGCAAGUAAUAUACCUGCAAGGGAACCAGAUUGAAUUUUGAAGGAAAAAGAAAUCACCCUCAUCAAAGACGUGUAUGUAUACUGAUUGCUAUUUCCUGGCAAGAAAUAACACUGUGGAAGAGGAAAGCUCUGUGGAAAAAUCCCUUCCUGAGGCAGAGGAUGACUGCUCUUUAAAGUGUUUCUAAGACAACUAAUUUGGAGAUGAAAUAGGAUGUUUUACCUUAAUAUGGGGCAUGAUUCACCAUUGAAAGAUGCUGUAGCAGACAUAGUACUAAAUCUUAUCUCAGGGAGUUGGAAAUGGCAAGCAUAUUGUGUCUCAGAGGUUCUUCAGCAGCGUACAACAUGGACUUCUGGGGAUGGAUUCCUCAGUUCACAUACAUGAGGUGAAGGGGGAACAAGCAUUUAUUAAGUAUGUGCUAAACUCUGUGCUAGGAGACAUUGGUCAAAACUAUUUAGGAAAAAAUAAAAGACAAACCACAAUGUACUUUAAAAAAAUCAUUGCAAAUUGAUAAUAAAAGUGUAAGGAGACUCCUUCAUUCCUUCUCUGUUCAGUAUAUAUUAAGUAAAACAAGUGGUAUA
Long non-coding RNA from Antechinus flavipes (yellow-footed antechinus), 1277 nucleotides. RefSeq lists it as uncharacterized. The record is from RefSeq and is a predicted model, not a curated record. The transcript is spliced from 6 exons. Lineage: Eukaryota; Metazoa; Chordata; Mammalia; Dasyuromorphia; Dasyuridae.